RNAcentral lists this ribosomal RNA (253 nucleotides) under uncultured bacterium. RNAcentral's name for it is "partial 16S ribosomal RNA". It matches the Rfam family "Bacterial small subunit ribosomal RNA", at positions 524 to 776 of the family's 1533-position model. The record is from RNAcentral.
UACGUAGGUGGCAAGCGUUGUCCGGAAUACUGGGCGUAAAGCGCACGCAGGUGGCUGAGUCAGUCGAUUGUGAAAGCCCUGGGCUUAACCUAGGAAUUGCAGUCGAUACUACUCGGCUAGAGUAUGGGAGAGGGCAGUGGAAUUCCCGGUGUAGCGGUGGAAAUGCGUAGAUAUCGGGAGGAACAUCAGUGGCGAAGGCGGCUGCCUGGCCCAAUACUGACACUCAGGUGCGACAGCGUGGGGAGCAAACAGG